Molecule: non-coding RNA, 30 nt
Filed under: Mus musculus (house mouse)
Lineage: Eukaryota; Metazoa; Chordata; Mammalia; Rodentia; Muridae
Source: RNAcentral
UGNGCCUCAUUUCAAGUGACCUUAGCCACA